ACUCAAAUGAAUUGACGGGGACCCGCACAAGCAGUGGAGUAUGUGGUUUAAUUCGAUGCUAAGCGAAAAACCUUACCGAGGCUUGACAUCCUGAGAAUCCCGCCGAAAGGUGGGAGUGCCUUCGGGAACUCAGUGACAGGUGCUGCAUGGCCGUCGUCAGCUCGUGUCGUGAGAUGUUGGGUUAAGUCCCGCAACGAGCGCAACCCUUGUCGUGUGUUACACUUUCACACGAGACCGCCCGGGUAACCGGGAGGAAGGUGAGGAUGACGUCUGGUCAGCAUGGCCCUUACGCCUCGGGCUACACACGUACUACAAUGGCCGUCACAAUGGGCACGCCAAGCAGCAAUGUGGAGCAAAUCCCAUCAAAAGCGGUCCCAGUUCGGAUUGAGGGCUGAAACUCGCCCUCAUGAAGUCGGAAUUGCUAGUAAUGGCGGAUCAGCAUGCCGCCGUGAAUACGUUCCCGGGUCUUGUACACACCGCCCGU
Molecule: ribosomal RNA, 484 nt
Filed under: uncultured bacterium
Lineage: Bacteria
Description: partial 16S ribosomal RNA
Rfam family: Bacterial small subunit ribosomal RNA
Source: RNAcentral